Molecule: ribosomal RNA, 255 nt
Filed under: Gavialis gangeticus (Gharial)
Lineage: Eukaryota; Metazoa; Chordata; Crocodylia; Gavialidae
Description: partial 12S ribosomal RNA
Source: RNAcentral
GACUUGACGGUACUUCGCACCCACCUAGAGGAGCCUGUCCUAUAAUCGACAGUACUCGAUAUACCUUACCAACUUUUGCCUUAAACGUCUAACAGCCUGUAUACCGCCGUCGCAAACUAGCCCCCUGAGGGACAAACAAUUUAGUACAAUAGCUUAUUUGAGCUAAUACGUCAGGUCAAGGUGCAGCCAAUGAGUUGGAAGAGAUGGGCUACAUUUUCUACCACAUAGAAAUAUGUCACGGAGAGCCCUGUGAAA